Long non-coding RNA from Pyrus x bretschneideri (Chinese white pear), 452 nucleotides. RefSeq lists it as uncharacterized. Lineage: Eukaryota; Viridiplantae; Streptophyta; Magnoliopsida; Rosales; Rosaceae. The record is from RefSeq and is a predicted model, not a curated record. The transcript is spliced from 4 exons.
UCCGUAACUAUUAUCUGUCUGCUGCCUAUUACUAUGGAGGCUAUGAUGAGACUAGCAACAACUGGGAUGACUACUUGAGAUAUGUAAAUCCUGAGGGAGUAUAAAUGAUUUCUAAAGGAGGAACGCCCAAACUGGAGGUCAGUCAAACAUGACAUCCUUUCUAUGGACCUGAGGGGAAAUUAUGAGACAUGGAAAUUGUUGCCAAAUGCGAGGACAUAAAGUUGUCUAUUUGCAAAAUUACGUUGAAGUGGCACAAGGACCCUAAGUUGGUAUGUUUGAGUAGAUUACCUGAUCUCCUUAGUUGGGUUUAGGUUUAAUGCUCAGUGGUAUGUUGUGCUUCUGCUCCUUUUUAAUUAUCGAGGAUAUGCAGAGAUCGCAAAUGAAAAGAUUGUAUUUGCUGUGUUGAUGCAUAGUUGAGCCAGAGAUGCAAAAGGAAGGAUGUAUUCAAUCUC